This 107-nucleotide small nucleolar RNA is filed under the name Eutrema salsugineum. RNAcentral describes it as "Plant small nucleolar RNA R71". It matches the Rfam family "Plant small nucleolar RNA R71". Rfam says of the family: R71 is a member of the C/D box family of snoRNAs containing the C (UGAUGA) and D (CUGA) box motifs. The record is from Rfam by way of RNAcentral. Lineage: Eukaryota; Viridiplantae; Streptophyta; Magnoliopsida; Brassicales; Brassicaceae.
AAGCCGUGGUGUGGGCAUUGGUUAGUAUAGCUUCUAAACCGUUCCCAAGCUUCACUAAAGCUCUUGUUAUUGUGCUGCGUGAAACUUGAGAUCUGAUUCCUGAGCUU